UCCGUCUUGAAAAGGAUUCGACCUCAAAUCUGUACCUUGAAAAAUCAAAAGAAGACAAACAAGCACACAUCCUCAUAACACGAGGGUUAGGGUUAGCAAAAAUAAACACAUUAUUACGCCAUGCCCAGGGGGAACAAUUUGAAGUAUAUCCACGGGUCCUUUGUAUUAAACAUAAAAAUAUUAGUACAAACGUGAAAAAGGAAGUGGCUCGGAUAAAUACCAAAACAAAAUGAAAAUAGGCCGAGAGUUAUCCUUUCCACCCUAAGAUGGUACCGGGAUCAAAUGGAAGAAUUAACCAAGGGCCUAAGCCGAGGCUAGCCCUUCCUUCCCCUAGAAUACCACUCCCACAUUCACACACAAAAAUAUUUUCAUACACAUGAUCUCUAUGAACAAAAAUAAUCGCAAUGCUUUUACCACACAAGAUGUUCAAAGAGUCAUGCGCAUUAUCAAGAUCAAUUCUAUAGACACCAUCACUAACUUGCAAAUUUUUAAGCACUUCAUUCACAUGCCCAAGUAGUGAACUACAUUUAAGAGUAAAUUGAUCAUCA
Molecule: long non-coding RNA, 548 nt
Filed under: Capsicum annuum
Lineage: Eukaryota; Viridiplantae; Streptophyta; Magnoliopsida; Solanales; Solanaceae
Description: long non-coding RNA (CANN_LNC020955)
Source: RNAcentral